GCCUACAAUGGCUAUCACGGGUAACGGGGAAUCAGGGUUCGAUUCCGGAGAGGGAGCCUGAGAAACGGCUACCACAUCUAAGGAAGGCAGCAGGCGCGCAAAUUACCCACUCCCGGCACGGGGAGGUAGUGACGAAAAAUACUGUUGCGAGCCCCGAACGGGGCCUCGCAAUUGGAAUGAGUACACUUUAAAUCCUUGUACGAGGAUCGAGUGGAGGGCAAGUCUGGUGCCAGCCGCCGCGGUAAUUCCAGCUCCACUAGCGUAUAUUAAAGUUGUUGCGGUUGAAACGCUCGUAGUU
This 298-nucleotide ribosomal RNA is filed under the name Penaeus merguiensis. Its description in RNAcentral is "partial 18S ribosomal RNA". It matches the Rfam family "Eukaryotic small subunit ribosomal RNA", at positions 339 to 635 of the family's 1831-position model. The record is from RNAcentral. Lineage: Eukaryota; Metazoa; Arthropoda; Malacostraca; Decapoda; Penaeidae.